CCAAGACCUGUGGCAUGGCUUUUGAAGGGACUACAUUGUGAUAACGGAUGGCCAAGGACAUUUAUUAAUCUCCAAAUUUUCGGCAAAGGAGCGAAGGGGGCAACGAACUCAGGCACCCCAGAGUCCGAGGAGAAGAGAAGACAGGAAGGCGCAGUAGAUUUUUUUUUUCACCAAGGAGUUGGCCCCGCAAAAUCUGGAUGGCGCUGCUGGGCCUCCACAAGCCUCCGUCACCUCCGUUGCAAACACUACGAGGCAACAGCAGUCUGCAACUGUUGCUUGUGUCAUUGCAGGGUGCAUGGGCUUCCAUGGGAGCUUCGCUACCAUGCGUACAUAUACCUUCGAUCAGAAAUCAAUCAAUCAGCACAGAAAAUUGGGCCGGACGACGCAACGGUGCUAACGGUGCCAUGGCAGCGGCUUUACGAAAACAAGAAAUCUGAGCUGUCACAUUUUCAGCACAUUUAGUGAUCAAAUGAACGAAAAUGUAGCAUUUAAAAAAGUACUAAACUAUCAGUUUUUCACCGCAAGUAAACUUGGCUGCAAUCCAGGAGAAUUUUAUCCGAGGUGGUGGACCAAUUGACUUAUCCUGAAAGUGCACAAUGUGUGGCCUCGUGGCACAACGCGGUUUGUAACACAAGCCGAUCCUGAGAUUCAAGACGUACUGCCAAUGAAUGUUCUCUGUGUAACACUAAAGCAAAGUUUGUUUAAUGUGAUAUUUUAAUGUAUUUAU
Long non-coding RNA from Dermacentor andersoni, 727 nucleotides. RefSeq lists it as uncharacterized. NCBI's taxonomy places the organism in Eukaryota, Metazoa, Arthropoda, Arachnida, Ixodida, Ixodidae. The record is from RefSeq and is a predicted model, not a curated record.